Molecule: ribosomal RNA, 595 nt
Filed under: Paecilomyces sp. M50
Lineage: Eukaryota; Fungi; Ascomycota; Eurotiomycetes; Eurotiales; Thermoascaceae
Description: eukaryotic LSU rRNA
Rfam family: Eukaryotic large subunit ribosomal RNA
Source: RNAcentral
GCAUAUCAAUAAGCGGAGGAAAAGAAACCAACAGGGAUUGCCCUAGUAACGGCGAGUGAAGCGGCAAGAGCUCAAAUUUGAAAUCUGGCUCCUCCGGGGUCCGAGUUGUAAUUUGCAGAGGAUGCUUCGGGUGCGGUCCCCGUCUAAGUACCCUGGAAUGGGUCGUCAUAGAGGGUGAGAAUCCCGUCUGGGACGGGUGGCCGUGUCCGUGUGAAGCUCCUUCGACGAGUCGAGUUGUUUGGGAAUGCAGCUCUAAAUGGGUGGUAAAUUUCAUCUAAAGCUAAAUAUUGGCCGGAGACCGAUAGCGCACAAGUAGAGUGAUCGAAAGAUGAAAAGCACUUUGAAAAGAGAGUUAAACAGCACGUGAAAUUGUUGAAAGGGAAGCGCUUGCGACCAGACUCGCCCGCGGGGGUUCAGCCGGUACUCGUACCGGUGUACUCCCCCGUGGGCGGGCCAGCGUCGGUUUGGGCGGCCGGUCAAAGGCCUCCGGAAUGUAUCGCCCUUCGGGGCGUCUUAUAGCCGGGGGUGCAAUGCGGCCAGCCUGGACCGAGGAACGCGCUUCGGCUCGGACGCUGGCGUAAUGGUCGUAAGCGGC